RNAcentral lists this ribosomal RNA (440 nucleotides) under uncultured bacterium. RNAcentral describes it as "partial 16S ribosomal RNA". It matches the Rfam family "Bacterial small subunit ribosomal RNA", at positions 338 to 795 of the family's 1533-position model. The record is from RNAcentral.
CCUACGGGUGGCAGCAGUGAGGGAUAUUGGUCAAUGGGGGAAACCCUGAACCAGCAACGCCGCGUGAGGGAAGACGGUUUUCGGAUUGUAAACCUCUGUCCUCUGUGAAGAUAAUGACGGUAGCAGAGGAGGAAGCUCCGGCUAACUACGUGCCAGCAGCCGCGGUAAUACGUAGGGAGCAAGCGUUGUCCGGAUUUACUGGGUGUAACGGGUGCGUAGGCGGCUUUGCAAGUCAGAAGUGACAUCCAUGGGCUUAACCCAUGAACUUCUUUUGAAACUGCAGAGCUUGAGUGGAGUAGAGGUAGGCGGAAUUCCCGGUGGAGCGGUGAAAUGCGGAGAGAUCGGGAGGAACACCAGUGGCGAAGGCGGCCUACUGGGCUCUAACUGACGCUGAGGCACGAAAGCGUGGGUAGCAAACAGGAUUAGAUACCCUAGUAGUC